RNAcentral lists this ribosomal RNA (497 nucleotides) under uncultured bacterium. RNAcentral's name for it is "partial 16S ribosomal RNA". It matches the Rfam family "Bacterial small subunit ribosomal RNA", at positions 28 to 507 of the family's 1533-position model. The record is from RNAcentral.
GAUGAACGCUGGCGGCGUGCCUAAUACAUGCAAGUCGAGCGAACAGACGAGGAGCUUGCUCCUCUGACGUUAGCGGCGGACGGGUGAGUAACACGUGGAUAACCUACCUAUAAGACUGGGAUAACUUCGGGAAACCGGAGCUAAUACCGGAUAAUAUAUUGAACCGCAUGGUUCAAUAGUGAAAGACGGUUUUGCUGUCACUUAUAGAUGGAUCCGCGCCGCAUUAGCUAGUUGGUAAGGUAACGGCUUACCAAGGCGACGAUGCGUAGCCGACCUGAGAGGGUGAUCGGCCACACUGGAACUGAGACACGGUCCAGACUCCUACGGGAGGCAGCAGUAGGGAAUCUUCCGCAAUGGGCGAAAGCCUGACGGAGCAACGCCGCGUGAGUGAUGAAGGUCUUCGGAUCGUAAAACUCUGUUAUUAGGGAAGAACAAAUGUGUAAGUAACUAUGCACGUCUUGACGGUACCUAAUCAGAAAGCCACUGCUAACUACGUG